CUGCUCUGAUUCAGCGGCGGACGGGUGAGUAAUGCCUAGGAAUCUGCCUGGUAGUGGGGGACAACGUUUCGAAAGGAACGCUAAUACCGCAUACGUCCUACGGGAGAAAGCAGGGGACCUUCGGGCCUUGCGCUAUCAGAUGAGCCUAGGUCGGAUUAGCUAGUUGGUGAGGUAAUGGCUCACCAAGGCGACGAUCCGUAACUGGUCUGAGAGGAUGAUCAGUCACACUGGAACUGAGACACGGUCCAGACUCCUACGGGAGGCAGCAGUGGGGAAUAUUGGACAAUGGGCGAAAGCCUGAUCCAGCCAUGCCGCGUGUGUGAAGAAGGUCUUCGGAUUGUAAAGCACUUUAAGUUGGGAGGAAGGGCAUUAACCUAAUACGUUAGUGUUUUGACGUUACCGACAGAAUAAGCACCGGCUAACUCUGUGCCAGCAGCCGCGGUAAUACAGAGGGUGCAAGCGUUAAUCGGAAUUACUGGGCGUAAAGCGCGCGUAGGUGGUUUGUUAAGUUGGAUGUGAAAUCCCCGGGCUCAACCUGGGAACUGCAUUCAAAACUGAC
RNAcentral lists this ribosomal RNA (559 nucleotides) under Pseudomonas sp. AmSamHH10i. RNAcentral's name for it is "bacterial SSU rRNA". It matches the Rfam family "Bacterial small subunit ribosomal RNA", at positions 82 to 637 of the family's 1533-position model. The record is from RNAcentral. Lineage: Bacteria; Pseudomonadati; Pseudomonadota; Gammaproteobacteria; Pseudomonadales; Pseudomonadaceae.